GAUGAAGACGUAGCGAAAUGCGAUAAGUAGUGUGAAUUGCAGAAUUCAGUGAAUCAUCGAAUCUUUGAACGCACAUUGCGCCCCUUGGUAUUCCAUGGGGCAUGCCUGUUCGAGCGUCAUCUACAACCCUCAAGCCCUGCUUGGUGUUGGGCGUCUGUCCCGCCCCCGCGCGCGGACUCGCCCCAAAUCCAUUGGCGGCGGCCCUUGCCUCCCUCUCGCGCAGCACAUUGCGCUUCUCGAGGCGUCGCGGGCCGCGCUCCACGAAGCACGCAAACCAGUCUUUGACCUCGGAUCAGGUAGGGAUACCCGCUGAACUUAAGCAUAUCAAUAAGCGGAGGA
RNAcentral lists this unclassified non-coding RNA (339 nucleotides) under soil metagenome. Its description in RNAcentral is "partial contains 5.8S ribosomal RNA, internal transcribed spacer 2, and large subunit ribosomal RNA". The stretch from base 1 to 119 matches the Rfam family "5.8S ribosomal RNA", at positions 35 to 154 of the family's 154-position model. The record is from RNAcentral.